This 465-nucleotide ribosomal RNA is filed under the name Vreelandella stevensii. RNAcentral's name for it is "partial 16S ribosomal RNA". It matches the Rfam family "Bacterial small subunit ribosomal RNA", at positions 338 to 795 of the family's 1533-position model. The record is from RNAcentral. Lineage: Bacteria; Pseudomonadati; Pseudomonadota; Gammaproteobacteria; Oceanospirillales; Halomonadaceae.
CCUACGGGAGGCAGCAGUGGGGAAUAUUGGACAAUGGGGGGAACCCUGAUCCAGCCAUGCCGCGUGUGUGAAGAAGGCCCUCGGGUUGUAGAGCACUUUCAGUGAGGAAGAACGCCUGGUGGUUAAUACCCAUCAGGAAAGACAUCACUCACAGAAGAAGCACCGGCUAACUCCGUGCCAGCAGCCGCGGUAAUACGGAGGGUGCGAGCGUUAAUCGGAAUUACUGGGCGUAAAGCGCGCGUAGGUGGCUUGAUAAGCCGGUUGUGAAAGCCCCGGGCUCAACCUGGGAACGGCAUCCGGAACUGUCAAGCUAGAGUGCAGGAGAGGAAGGUAGAAUUCCCGGUGUAGCGGUGAAAUGCGUAGAGAUCGGGAGGAAUACCAGUGGCGAAGGCGGCCUUCUGGACUGACACUGACACUGAGGUGCGAAAGCGUGGGUAGCAAACAGGAUUAGAUACCCCGGUAGUC